CCUACGGGUGGCAGCAGUGAGGAAUAUUGGUCAAUGGGCGCGAGCCUGAACCAGCCAAGUAGCGUGAAGGAUGACUGCCCUACGGGUUAUAAACUUCUUUUAUAAAGGAAUAAAGUGAGUCACGUGUGCCUUUUUGUAUGUACUUUAUGAAUAAGGAUCGGCUAACUCCGUGCCAGCAGCCGCGGUAAUACGGAGGAUCCGAGCGUUAUCCGGAUUUAUUGGGUUUAAAGGGAGCGUAGGUGGGUUGUUAAGUCAGUUGUGAAAGUUUGGGGCUCAACCGUAAUAUUGCAGUUGAUACUGGCGGUCUUGAGUACAGUUGAGGUAGGCGGAAUUCGUGGUGUAGCGGUGAAAUGCUUAGAUAUCACGAAGAACUCCGAUUGCGAAGGCAGCUUACUGCACUGCAACUGACGUUGAUGCUCGAAAGUGUGGGUAUCAAACAGGAUUAGAUACCCGAGUAGUC
This 460-nucleotide ribosomal RNA is filed under the name uncultured bacterium. RNAcentral describes it as "partial 16S ribosomal RNA". It matches the Rfam family "Bacterial small subunit ribosomal RNA", at positions 338 to 795 of the family's 1533-position model. The record is from RNAcentral.